AGACCGGUUUACUGGUCGUGCUUUUGUACGUACUGGUAUCAUUGGUUUCUCCUUUCUGACGAACCAUGAUGUCAUUAAUUUGGUGUUAUGGGGAGUUAGGACUGUUACUUUGAAAAAAUUAGAGUGUUUAAAGCAGGCUUUAGCUUGAAUACAUUAGCAUGGAAUAAUGAAAUAGGACGUUCGAACCUAUUUUGUUGGUUUCUAGGAUCAACGUA
RNAcentral lists this ribosomal RNA (215 nucleotides) under Campeiostachys nutans. RNAcentral's name for it is "Elymus nutans partial small subunit ribosomal RNA". The stretch from base 46 to 215 matches the Rfam family "Eukaryotic small subunit ribosomal RNA", at positions 693 to 864 of the family's 1831-position model. The record is from RNAcentral. Lineage: Eukaryota; Viridiplantae; Streptophyta; Magnoliopsida; Poales; Poaceae.